This 1197-nucleotide long non-coding RNA is filed under the name Cicer arietinum (chickpea). RNAcentral's name for it is "long non-coding RNA (CARI_LNC001580)". Lineage: Eukaryota; Viridiplantae; Streptophyta; Magnoliopsida; Fabales; Fabaceae. The record is from RNAcentral.
AAACGUAAAGAGAUAUUUCAUUGAUUUCAACAUUCAAUCAAAAUAAGACAUAUUAUAUUUCAACAUUUAAUUUAAAUAUGUCAUGAGUGACGUACCUUAAUAGAUGGUCUCAUGAGUUAUCUUCUAAAUUUUACGGGAGUGAACCUCCACAGAUUUGUCAUCAAUCAUUUGAUACUUUGAUACUGGAGGUAACAUCUCACACCAUACUUUUUAUCCUCAACUUUCUCAGUAUAAUUUUUUUCCCAAAGCAUUCCUAACAUCUCUAUCAGUAUUGUUGGAACUAGUAGUCAUACAAAUCAUCAACAAGUCCAUUAAGAUUAUAAUUCUUAUUAGUAUUCUCACAUAGGUUAAUUCUCCAACUGUCUUAUCCUUCGAGUUUCUGUUUCACUUUGUUUGUUGCUUAUAUUUAAAAGAACGUGACUUGGUUCGUUGCCCCCACUAUUUCUCCAUUUGACAGAGAAUUUAUUUUUAUAGAAGUCAACAUCAUUUGACUCUAUGAUCACUUUUGCAUGUAGGUCAUAAAACCUAUACGCUUUGUUCUUUACUCUAUACCCAAUGAAUACACAUUCAUAGGCUCUACUGACGAAUUUAAUUCACUUGAGAUCAGAGAUUUUGACAUAAGCCAAACAACCCCAAGUUUGAAAAUUAGAUGUAUUAUUUUUAGAUUUAUGAACUAUAUUCAAAUCAUAUCAAAUAAGAAAUAUAUUGUCUGCACACCAAUGAGAUGCAUCACUAGAGCUAAGCCUACUAGCAACAACUAAUUCAAUGAGAUUUUUUUUUUUAACUAUACCAUUCACUUCAAGCAAUUAUGGUGCAGUUAUUUCAUACAUAAUUCUAGACAAUUUAUAAAACUUACUAAAUAAACUAGAAUCAUACUUGGAACCUCUUAAUAUUUCUACUAAAUUGAUUUAUAAUUUCAGUUACAAAGAUUCUUAACAUGUCAAACGUAAAGAGAUAUUUCAUUGAUUUCAACAUUCAAUCAAAAUAAGACAUUAUAUUUCAACAUUUAAUUUAAAUAUGUAAUGAGUGACGUACCUUAAUAGAUGGUCUCAUGAGUUAUCUUCUAAAUUUUACGGGAGUGAACCUCCACAGAUUUGUCAUCAAAUCAUUUGAUACUUUGAUACUGGAGGUAACAUCUCACACCAUACUUUUUAUCCUCAACUUUCUCAGUAUCAUUUUUUUCCCAAAGCAUUCCUA